CAUUAGUUUGGGUAUCUGGCAUGUCUACCGUCCCAAAAACUCUGGAAAAAAAUCACUCCCGCGAUUUGUUGUGGUUCCUCUAUUUCAGAAACUAUGUGCUAAAGUGCGUCCAAUUGAAUUUCCCCCGAAAUAGACGUCAUAGUCGAAAAAUGCCCAUUUAGUACAUUCCCCCAUAGCUCUAUGCACUCCCCCACUACCACUCGACCCACCCCUAGAUGGACCCUCCCACUUUAUAUAAGCUCGGUCCACCGGUGUCCGCCAUUUCAUUCUUGCAAGCCUUGGAAACACUUGGAUUAGCUAACUAGCAGCAUGAAUCGGUGGUCGGCUGCAAACAUGUCUUCAUGUGACUCCAGCUUCUGAAGACACAAGAUUGAGAUGGAUUGAGUUCAUAUAUGAUGGCAACGUUCCUGCCACCACUUUGAAUCGGACUGUUUUAUCAACCUGGGCCAAUAUAACGCUGGAUUCUCUAAAAGGUUGUUAUUGAAAGAGGGGUCGGUGCCAUCUUUCCAUGGCAAUACUGAAGACGAGGGAAAUGCAAGCACAUUUGUUCACGGUGCUAGGCUACAUCACGUAGCAUGCCAGACGGACCCACCACAGAUGCGCACACAUGGAACGCAGCUUUCUAUGAAAACACUGCGACCUCACAACAAAAGUACAGGCACACAGAAAACUGUGCUGCACUGAUGUUGGUGUUGGGACCUCAGCUGUAGAGACCUCGCUUGGAGGAGGGAGAGGACAACCCAAGUUGUUCAAGUAUGGACUUCGGAGAGCCACAGGAUGCUACCUAUGAUCCUGAUGACUCAAUCACAGUCUUGACUGAGUCAGCAGAUGUGACAUCACGUGGAUAACCUGUUGGACCUCAUCUUUCACGAGGUUUUUCAGGACCCGGCCCCAUAUGUGAAUGAGGUGCUGAAGAUCUCAAAACGUGAGGAUCUCUCUGCCAAGUAUGAGAAACCUGACAAGCAGGAAGUUAUAGCCAGCUAUGUGUCGAGUUUCAAUCAAGGGCAGGUCUGAACCCUGCAUAACUUCCCUGAGCAUCAGGGAACACUCUGCGUAUCUGGAGCACCACGCAGGAGGGCAGGACCACCCUGAUUCUCCGGCCCAGGUGGCCUCAACACCAGCUCACAAAGCUUCUGUACGCCAAAUCCCUGUAACAGCUGAGCAAAGUUUACAUUGUAUUUAGAGAAUAAAAGGUGACACACAAAUAUAAAGUGUUCCUUUGUUUACAGUAUGGCUACUGAUGGCACAAAUUGUAUUUUUGUAAUCAAUGUUUUCAUUAUACUUGGUAUGUUUAAAAAGCUCUGUGGCAAUCUUUCUGACAAUAAAAGUUUAUA
Pleuronectes platessa (European plaice) is the source of this 1334-nucleotide long non-coding RNA. RefSeq lists it as uncharacterized. The record is from RefSeq and is a predicted model, not a curated record. The transcript is spliced from 4 exons. Lineage: Eukaryota; Metazoa; Chordata; Actinopteri; Pleuronectiformes; Pleuronectidae.